This 62-nucleotide transfer RNA is filed under the name Vanessa cardui. RNAcentral's name for it is "tRNA-Cys". RNAcentral also lists the same sequence under 2 other names. Lineage: Eukaryota; Metazoa; Arthropoda; Insecta; Lepidoptera; Nymphalidae. The record is from RNAcentral.
AGUCUUAUAUUCAAUAAUGAUAUAAAAUUGCAAAUUUUAAGGUGUAAUAUUUACUAAGGCUU